Drosophila virilis is the source of this 602-nucleotide non-coding RNA. NCBI's taxonomy places the organism in Eukaryota, Metazoa, Arthropoda, Insecta, Diptera, Drosophilidae. The record is from RefSeq and is a predicted model, not a curated record.
UAACUCAUGAACAAAAUACACAGCUGUAACAACUAUGAAAAUGUAAACAACAAAGAUCGGGCCCCGGUUCCGGACCCAGCGUACCCGCCCUACCAUGAGACGAUCACCUCCACUCGUCUCCCUCAUUUUGGCCACCAAAUGGCCUAUAUUAGCCCGUGUCGGCCAUAAUGCCCACUCUCCCCAGCAAUAUUAUUUUAGCCGGACAUGAUUUCUUUCAAUAGCUGUUUAGGAUCUCAUGCAAGCGGAUAAUUCAUUAACUUCACAGAAUUAAUUUUUUUUAUUUUUUUACAACACUGAAUGGAACAGGCGACGAAACACUACAAGGAUAUUGCUAGUCGCCGCAAAAGAAACGCGCAAUGAGGCACUUUAGAGGCAAUCGUUGCCCCGAUUUAGGAACAAUGGCCCGCACAAUUACUUAAAACUGGAGCUCUCUGGGGGUGGUAAGGGGCGAUAUAAAUGCGUAAAUUCAAAUUAGGCGCAGAGGCGUCACCGUUGGAGUUUUCCUCACCGUUCGCACUCUAAAGUGAAGCUCGGCGUAAGUGCCUAUGGAGUGCAAUUAGGAGUCUUCUUCUGACUCUGCCAGGGGCUCGAACGAGGAUGGG